UAUUAUGUACAUGCCUACAAUGUUAAUGCAGUGGAUCCCAUUAGAACUUCGUAGUUAAACGCACUUGGGAUAGAGUAGUACUGGGAUGGGUGACCUCCUGGGAAGUCCAAGUGUUUUAGAUGC
Picea glauca (white spruce) is the source of this 123-nucleotide non-coding RNA. The record is from Rfam. NCBI's taxonomy places the organism in Eukaryota, Viridiplantae, Streptophyta, Pinopsida, Pinales, Pinaceae.